Molecule: ribosomal RNA, 508 nt
Filed under: uncultured bacterium
Lineage: Bacteria
Description: partial 16S ribosomal RNA
Rfam family: Bacterial small subunit ribosomal RNA
Source: RNAcentral
GACGAACGCUGGCGGCGUGCCUAAUACAUGCAAGUCGAACGCUUCUUUCCUCCCGGGUGCUUGCACUCAAUUGGAAAGAGGAGUGGCGGACGGGUGAGUAACACGUGGGUAACCUACCCAUCAGAGGGGGAUAACACUUGGAAACAGGUGCUAAUACCGCAUAACAGUUUAUGCCGCAUGGCAUAAGAGUGAAAGGCGCUUUCGGGUGUCGCUGAUGGAUGGACCCGCGGUGCAUUAGCUAGUUGGUGAGGUAACGGCUCACCAAGGCCACGAUGCAUAGCCGACCUGAGAGGGUGAUCGGCCACACUGGGACUGAGACACGGCCCAGACUCCUACGGGAGGCAGCAGUAGGGAAUCUUCGGCAAUGGACGAAAGUCUGACCGAGCAACGCCGCGUGAGUGAAGAAGGUUUUCGGAUCGUAAAACUCUGUUGUUAGAGAAGAACAAGGACGUUAGUAACUGAACGUCCCCUGGCGGUAUCUAACCAGAAAGCCACGGCUAACUACGUG